Long non-coding RNA from Polyodon spathula (Mississippi paddlefish), 2679 nucleotides. RefSeq lists it as uncharacterized. The record is from RefSeq and is a predicted model, not a curated record. The transcript is spliced from 3 exons. NCBI's taxonomy places the organism in Eukaryota, Metazoa, Chordata, Actinopteri, Acipenseriformes, Polyodontidae.
CCGAACCCGUGACGGUGACGGAUGCAACCUCGCAAGGUUUGUUGGUCGUCUUCUCUUUCAGAGAACCACGGUUACGAAGCAGUUUGUAAAUCCUAUAACGUGCGUCCAGUGCUCCGAAAACUGUGCGUGCUCAGCACUUCUCCUGUGCCAGAUACAGCUACCCAGCUGAACCAAGAGACAAAAAAGAUCUAGAAGCUUUUUUCUGAAAAAAACAGUUACUACACUCAGGGGGGAUGCACAGCUAGUCCUACUGAACCUCCACUCCCGACUGAGGGAGCCGUGCAGCACUGAGCGACGCUCUUGCACGCCACUUUGGGAACCUGACUGACCCAGAGGGACUGAAACUCUGGCUAUGACACCACCUGUAUCAGCUGGGUGAGACCCUAGUCAGUCUAGGAUCGGGUCCCACGGAUACUCUACUGGAUCGAGAUCCGGGAUUGUGCUGGCCAAGGAAGAGGACGCUUUUAUAGUCUUCCAAUCAUGGACAAUGCCAACCCAGUGGAGGAAUUCUGAAAGGUUCAAUUUUCUUUACAACCUACUAAACUGCUAGAGAGAGAUUUAAGACAGAAUUCAGCUCUAGUGCCCUGUUGUAUGCAGUAGUUUAAAUUUAUGAGCUUCAACAAAAAGGAAAUUAACAUCAUGGAGUUUUGGUAAGAGCCCAGUUAGAUUAACGUAGUUAGGGUUCACUGUAGCAUUUCUAAGAAUGCAGUGUUCACAUUUCCAUAAAGUUUGUGUGCAGAUGUAGUCUCUUAUUAACAAUACAGUGCAGCAACACACCUCACUAAAAUGAUGGUGUACUUGGAGUACAGCCAGAAUUACAUGUCAACCAAAUGCAGGCUGCAACAAAUAAUUCAGUGCUACAGUAGGACAUUACUGUAGUGGCAUCUUACAGAUACUUUUAUUUACUGUUAUUACAAAACAUAUUUAAUUGUUGUGUCUUGUUUUCUCAGAGCAAAUAAGAGGGUCUGAAGUGUUUUGUGGUCAUUGGCAAGGCCUGUUUAAGAUCUAGUUUUCUGAGUGUAUUCAUAGAAAAACGUAUUAUUUAAUGAUGAACAUAACAUUUGGAAAAAAGAAAAGCAAUAUCGUGUAUCCGUGUGGUUCGUCGGAAAUUAAAAUUUGUUUCUAGGUCACAAAUUGAAUGACAACAUGCGUUUCAACAAAAUUGAAAUUCUCAUUCAUGCAAUCUCCCUCAUCUAUUAAAUACACACUUGGUAGAUAAUUUAAAAAAAGCAAAGAUGCUUCUUAUUGAUUCAAAAGGAAAUGUUACGCUACUUAUCAGCAGUGGUCCCAAGACCUGCUAAAAUCAUUGUUGAAGAGUUGUUAUAAAAAUGACAAGAAUCAAAGAAAAGGCCACUAAUCCAAUAACCAUUCAACUCACUUUUUUUUUUUUUUUUUUUUUAAUAAUUUAAUUAGAAUUAUGCAGAUUGUUUAAAUAUAAUAUUAUGAUGAAAAUAUUGCUACUGCACUUCUUGGUGCCUAAAUACUUCAGGUGUUGUAGUUUAGCUUCACUCCAAUGGUCUAGCUGUAAUUGUAUUUGCAAUAUUUACAUAUCCUGAAUUACUGUAAAGAAAACAAGGACUAAAAGAUUCUCAUCACAAUAAUAAUGUUAAUAAAGCUGAUUAGAGCUCACAAAAUGCAUUGGUUAGCAUUUUUUUUAAAAAGCAGAUCCUCAUAUUGUUAUACACAAUUUCUCUACGGUAUGUAUCCAUUUUAUUUUUUUUAUGGCAGGUAUUUUUUGUUGCAUGUUUUUGAGUAUACAUGAAGAUGAUUGUAUCCAGGCUGGCAAUGAAGGCUGAGAACCACUCUGUUCUCCUAAUAGAGACAGUAUGUUGCAGCUGUUACAACUGUUGCCAUGGCAACAUAUUAACAGUACUUGUCAGUGCAUGAAUAGAGUGGAUUAUAUGCACAUUACAUUCCAGUGCUCUACAUAAAAAUUAAUAUAUCACGCAAACCUGUGUAAUCACCAUGUCUUGCAAGCAAGCUAUCUUUCAUUAACAAAGACACCUGCAAUCAGUUUGGAGUACAAACUGUUUUUGCGGUAGUGUGAAAGAUGAUUUAUCCUCAUGACCUGGCUCUUGCUUAGUGGGUCUGGAUCUGUAGAGUAUUAAUCUAUCAAGGAAUCAAACAGAGAUCAUUCCAGUCUAGUUACUUUAUGAACAUUUCACUACAGUACAACAUGUCUAACCCUAUGCUUUUACCUCCUCCAAGUUAUACUAACAGGAGUGUGCCACCACCUGACAUAUUCUAGUCUGGACAUUUCAGUUUGGUGAUAAUAAAUAAACAUGUCAUAAAAUAAUAAGUGAUAUUAAACAACUUUGACUGCAGGUAUAUUCUUGCUUAUGGAGGCACCUACUAUCAGCUUGCUUUCAAAAUGUUACAGCUGCUGUCCUGCGGAUCGUGAUUAAUACUGACAUAGUGGUUAGAUUAGACACAUUUGCAGAGCACAACCAGUUCUUGUAGUUAAAUAUUGUAUCUUCUGCCCCCAAGUGAUUUUUUUUCUUCAGAUGUUGUAUGUGAUCAAACUACACAUGUGACAUCACAUGAAUAAAGACCACGGUGCUCAUUUGCGCACUGGAAUAGAAGUGUGCUGGAAACAGAAACACACGUACAUUUUAAGGAACAUUCUUUUUACAUACAGUCAAUUUCACUGCGCUAAAUUCUAUUAGAUAACUCUAACCU